AAACAAAAUCCCUCGGCCAGGAACUACCUACCCACAAACUCCGCACGGAACUUCUGCCUAAUUACUCUCCUCAUAUCUCUCCCGAUUCCACUCCCCGCCAGCCACGCACCUCCCAGAUCCUCUUCUCCCCCGGCCUUGCACGCACCUGCAUCUCAUCGUCGUCGAGCAGCACGACCACUUCACCGGCCACUUCCGUCCCAUCCACCGCGCCGGAGCGCCACUCUUCCGUACAUGCAGCGGUGCUCAUCUCCAGCCAAGGUGGCCGCUGGUGUGGUUGCCUAACCAUGCUCCCGGAGGAUCACUACAUGCCAGGAGGAUCAGAAGCCAUAAGAAUCAGCACGCAUCCCUUUUGGAUGUUCCUUUUUGCCGAAUUCUUUGCGUCCAUGCAGGGUUGUCAACAGCGGAAGAACAUGCCAUGCCGAUGUGAGAUCAAUUUGGAAGCAAAUUAGCGUGUCACACACUCAGUGGCCACAUGUCAAGAUUGUUGGCCCCUCAAUGGCGUCGACGCUCGCCGACGUUGACACCAUAGAUUUGUGGGAGAAAUGAAUGUCAUCAAGACUAGGUCGGACAUGGUUGGAUGGAGCAUAGAGGGGAACUAGAGAUUAGGAAGCACGAUUUGUGUUUCGAAGCAUUACUUCGAUGUGAUUAAUUUCAUCAUUCAUUGUGCUUCCACAUGAUUUCUUUGCGAAGCAACUGUUUUCAUUAUACAUCAAGAUUGUAUCAAUUGCAAUUACUAAUUGGUUGGAAGAAAUUUUG
This 756-nucleotide ribosomal RNA is filed under the name Triticum aestivum (bread wheat). RNAcentral describes it as "partial small subunit ribosomal RNA". Lineage: Eukaryota; Viridiplantae; Streptophyta; Magnoliopsida; Poales; Poaceae. The record is from RNAcentral.